Molecule: non-coding RNA, 30 nt
Filed under: Rattus norvegicus (Norway rat)
Lineage: Eukaryota; Metazoa; Chordata; Mammalia; Rodentia; Muridae
Source: RNAcentral
UGAUAAGAAUUCCGCAAAGCCAAGCCACUA